This 419-nucleotide ribosomal RNA is filed under the name uncultured bacterium. RNAcentral describes it as "bacterial SSU rRNA". It matches the Rfam family "Bacterial small subunit ribosomal RNA", at positions 356 to 774 of the family's 1533-position model. The record is from RNAcentral.
AAGGAAUAUUGCUCAAUGGGAGAAAUCCUGAAGCAGCAACGCCGCGUGGAGGAUGAAGGGUCUAUGACUUGUAAACUCCUGUAAAGAAGGAAAAAAUUCCCAUUAGAUGGGAGAUGAUGGUACUUCUGGAGUAAGCCCCGGCUAACUACGUGCCAGCAGCCGCGGUAAUACGUAGGGGGCAAGCGUUGUCCGGAUUUACUGGGUGUAAAGGGUGCUCAGGCGGAUUUGUAAGUCAGAGGUGAAAUCUUACAGCUUAACUGUGAAACUGCCUUUGAUACUGCAAGCCUAGAGUAUGGAAGAGAGUGAUGGAAUAUCUGGUGAAGCAGUGACAUGCGUAGAUAUCAGAUAGAACACCAAUGGCGAAGGCAGUCACUUGGUCCAUUACUGACGCUAAAGCACGAAAGCGUGGGUAGCAAACA